RNAcentral lists this ribosomal RNA (253 nucleotides) under uncultured bacterium. RNAcentral's name for it is "partial 16S ribosomal RNA". It matches the Rfam family "Bacterial small subunit ribosomal RNA", at positions 524 to 776 of the family's 1533-position model. The record is from RNAcentral.
UACGAAGGGGGCUAGCGUUGCUCAGAAUUACUGGGCGUAAAGGGUUCGUAGGUGGCUCGCUAAGUCAGACGUGAAAUCCCUCAGCUUAACUGGGGAACUGCGUCUGAGACUGGCAAGCUUGAGUGCAGGAGAGGAACGCGGAAUUCCAGGUGUAGCGGUGAAAUGCGUAGAUAUCUGGAGGAACACCGGUGGCGAAGGCGGCGUUCUGGACUGUAACUGACACUGAAGAACGAAAGCCAGGGGAGCAAACGGG